Molecule: ribosomal RNA, 552 nt
Filed under: Triticum aestivum (bread wheat)
Lineage: Eukaryota; Viridiplantae; Streptophyta; Magnoliopsida; Poales; Poaceae
Description: partial small subunit ribosomal RNA
Source: RNAcentral
AUGGCGUGUUGGAAUAAAGUCUCUCCGGUCUCUCCCUACCUUGACGACGUCCGAUCCGGCGCCGGCGAAGGGCCUGUGAGAGUUUGUGUUCCCAGAUCGGUUGGUUCCCUUCAGAUCUUGGCAGUUGGUGUGUCUUUCAAGGAGUACUUUUGGCUGGCGUUUGGUGUGGCGACCACGACAUCUUCUUCUGUGUUGUUCUGUGGCUUAACCCGGUUUCUCCAACCCUCUGAUCUGGUGGUGGUGGAUUGCAAGCUUGUUCUUCUUGGGGUGAUGCUCCAGCCGAUGCUGCUUCAACGACUUUUAGAUCUCGUCUCAAGGGGCGAGUGGCUAUUGCGGUCUUCAAAGCCUUGUGUGGCGAGGGCAUUUGCAGGUUUUGCUUUUCUUUGCUGUUGGUUCAGUGCAAUUUUCAAUCACCGGCGGGCAGCGUACAAUCAGAGGAAGAAGAAGACUAGUAUGCUUUUUAUUGUAAUUUUAUUUUUUACUGGUCGUUUUACGUCCAGUUGUCUAUCCUUUGUACUGGCCUUUGUUUUCCUCGAUGAUAAUCAGAUUUAA